RNAcentral lists this long non-coding RNA (345 nucleotides) under Rattus norvegicus (Norway rat). RNAcentral's name for it is "long non-coding RNA NONRATT028588". The record is from RNAcentral. Lineage: Eukaryota; Metazoa; Chordata; Mammalia; Rodentia; Muridae.
CAGAGAUAGAUGCCUUCUGCUGAUCCCUCUGAUGCCGUCCAGUAAGUCCCUGAAGGAGGAGGAUGAGGCUGCUGAAUACCAGCCUGGCCUCCUUCCUUCCACGUGCCAGGCACCGGAGUCAGACAGCCGUGUAUCAUGCCGUCACACCCCAGCCCGCCUUCCCAUCCAUCUCCCUCUGAUUCGCAGCUACCCACUAGAUUCCCCCACCAUCUUUCAUUUCCAUACACUUCUAGAUUCUCCCAAGUCAGAACCUUUAUAUCUUCUACUGCUACCGUCCAAACCUCACUGUAAACUCCCAAGCUUUUCACGUGGCUGCACCAGUCAGAGCUCUGCUCCAAUGCCACU